Molecule: ribosomal RNA, 228 nt
Filed under: uncultured bacterium
Lineage: Bacteria
Description: partial 16S ribosomal RNA
Rfam family: Bacterial small subunit ribosomal RNA
Source: RNAcentral
UGCGCAGGCGGAAUAAUUAGUCAGUGGUGAAAUCUCCCGGCUCAACCGGGAAACUGCCAUUGAUACUGUUAUUCUUGAGUAUAGUUGUAGUGGGCGGAAUAUAGCAUGUAGCGGUGAAAUGCUUAGAUAUGCUAUAGAGCACCGAUCGCGAAGGCAGCUCACUAAACUAUAACUGACGCUCAGGCACGAAAGCGUGGGGAGCAAACAGGAUUAGAUACCCUGGUAGUC